UACGUAGGGUGCAAACGUUGUUCGGAAUCACUGGGCAUAAAGAGCGCGUAGGCGGUCUAAUAAGUCCUUUGUGAAAGCCCCCGGCUUAACCGGGGAAUUGCAUUGGAUACUGCUGGACUAGAGUACAGAAGGGGAGAGCGGAAUUCCUGGUGGAGCGGUGAAAUGCGUAGAUAUCAGGAGGAACGCCGGCGGCGAAAGCGGCUCUCUGGUCUGUCACUGACGCUGAGGCGCGAAAGCUAGGGGAGCAAACGGG
RNAcentral lists this ribosomal RNA (253 nucleotides) under uncultured bacterium. RNAcentral's name for it is "partial 16S ribosomal RNA". It matches the Rfam family "Bacterial small subunit ribosomal RNA", at positions 524 to 776 of the family's 1533-position model. The record is from RNAcentral.